This 28-nucleotide non-coding RNA is filed under the name Mus musculus (house mouse). Lineage: Eukaryota; Metazoa; Chordata; Mammalia; Rodentia; Muridae. The record is from RNAcentral.
UACUAAAUCUGAUUCCUCAGGUGGUAAG